RNAcentral lists this non-coding RNA (724 nucleotides) under Pan troglodytes (chimpanzee). The record is from RNAcentral. Lineage: Eukaryota; Metazoa; Chordata; Mammalia; Primates; Hominidae.
GACUACCCAGGUGGCUAGCAUCUACUUGGAUAAGAAUGUCCUGAGCUUCAAAUCUCUUCCCUGAUAAAAAGAGGGCUGCUGCUCUCAAGGAACUUCAGUCAAGGGGGAGUGGGGGAAGACAGUCCCAUACACAGACAAAAAACUAGGGGGUGAAAGGCCAAUGAGUGGUGGGAAGGAAAGGGAAAGAAGCUUCCAGAAGAAAAGACAGAAGCUGAUUGAGGUCCCAGCUUGGUAACAGUUUGAAGAGUUGCAGGACUGGCUGGAUGAGUACUGGCUGCAGCAAGUCAGGCUGCCAGGAUUCUUUAUGGCUGUUUCUGCUUCCACUACAGCUGAGUCAGAAAGGUCGCUGCCCAGUGGUGGCACUAGACGCAGUGGACCUGGCAAGCAAAUGUUUCCGCUAUUAGCUCUCAGCAACAGAGACUCAUUUAUGGUCACCUUGGAAAUCUGGGCUUAUCGAUCUACAGCCCAAGUCUGCUGAGAAGCUGGAGCUUAAUAAAGGGGAAACCUGAGAGCUGUUCAAGCCCCAAACAUUUUCCACUUCUGCGUCACCUCUGCUGUCUGUUAGCAGAGUGGAGGAGAAAAUACACCAGCACAAACAAUGCGAAAAAAUAGUUACUCUAUUCAUUAAAAGCUGUAACUUCCAGAUUGGACUUGAGAAGCAAUUAAGCAACAGAGGCACCUCGUCUACUAUCUGUAUUCAGGCAUGCUCAUGAGAACACGCUGC